GACGAACGCUGGCGGCGUGCCUAAUACAUGCAAGUAGAACGCUGAAGAGAGGAGCUUACUCUUCUUGGAUGAGUUGCGAACGGGUGAGUAACGCGUAGGUAACCUGCCUUGUAGCGGGGGAUAACUAUUGGAAACGAUAGCUAAUACCGCAUAACAAUGGAUGACACAUGUCAUUUAUUUGAAAGGGGCAAUUGCUCCACUACAAGAUGGACCUGCGUUGUAUUAGCUAGUAGGUGAGGUAAUGGCUCACCUAGGCGACGAUACAUAGCCGACCUGAGAGGGUGAUCGGCCACACUGGGACUGAGACACGGCCCAGACUCCUACGGGAGGCAGCAGUAGGGAAGCUUCGGCAAUGGGGGCAACCCUGACCGAGCAACGCCGCGUGAGGGAAGAAGGUUUUCGGAUCGUAAAGCUCUGUUGUAAGUCAAGAACGGGUGUGAGAGUGGAAAGUUCACACUGUGACGGUAGCUUACCAGAAAGGGACGGCUAACUACGUG
RNAcentral lists this ribosomal RNA (497 nucleotides) under uncultured bacterium. RNAcentral describes it as "partial 16S ribosomal RNA". It matches the Rfam family "Bacterial small subunit ribosomal RNA", at positions 28 to 507 of the family's 1533-position model. The record is from RNAcentral.